AACUGAAAUCAUAUUUCAACUUGGGUCUGAAGAGAAAGGAUGUUUUUUUUUAGCUUAAUUUGGGCAAAAAGAGAAGAUUUCUACCUUGAAGGAACAGGCGAGGAGUCUGCAGAACGACGUCACGGCUGAGUUUGCCGAAAUGCACCAGAACCUCAGUGACACGGAGCAGUGUGUAAUGCGAGAGCUCAGAGAGUGAGAGGAGGAAAUGUUAUAGGGUUUGAAGAGGCGUUAAAAUCUAUAGACCCAGAAUUAGUAACGUUACAGCGGCAAAUGGAUGAACAGGACAUGGGGUCCUUUCUGAGGGAGGAAGAUUCUCGGAAGAUCAGUGUUAGUGAAGACUGGAUUGAGCCAUCAGUGGUACGAGGAGAUUUGACUCUGGCAAUACCCAAAGACCUCACAGUGUGGAGAGAAAUGAUCCACAUGAUCAGCCUUGGUGAACAGUUCCGGACUCGUCCCUCACUAUAAAGCCCUCACUGUGUGGUAGAUGCAGAUAGUUGUUUUUGGUCAGCAGUUGGGUGUCUGACACACACGGAAACCCAUCACCGUGCUUCUGAGUCUCUGAACCAGUCUGAGAGUUGCAUAUACAUAUGCCACCUACACAUGGAAAUUUCCCUGAGUCUCGCCAGUCCUGACUGUGGGCUUCUCAAACCACCAUCUCAAACACCUCAAUCAAAUCACCCCUCAACCUUCCAAUCUCAAGGGAAUACAAUCUAAGUUUACGCAGCCUUUCCUCGUAACGUAACCCUUUGAGGCCUGGAAACAUUCCAGUGAACCUGUGUUGCACCUCCUCCAGGGCCAAUUAUAUCUUUCCUGAAGAAAGAUAUGUUCACACAGAACCUCAU
Molecule: long non-coding RNA, 842 nt
Organism: Callorhinchus milii (elephant shark)
Lineage: Eukaryota; Metazoa; Chordata; Chondrichthyes; Chimaeriformes; Callorhinchidae
Exons: 4
Source: RefSeq, a predicted model, not a curated record